GAGGGGCUCGCGGCCUAUCAGCUAGUUGGUGAGGUAACGGCUCACCAAGGCGACGACGGGUAGCUGGUCUGAGAGGACGACCAGCCACACGGGGACUGAGACACGGCCCCGACUCCUACGGGAGGCAGCAGUGGGGAAUUUUCCGCAAUGGGCGAAAGCCUGACGGAGUGACGCCGCGUGGGGGACGAAGGCCUUCGGGACGUAAACCCCUGUCAGAGGGAAAGAAGGGUUCGGGCGUGAAUAGCGCUCGGAUCUGACGGUACCUUCAGAGGAAGCCCCGGCCAACUCUGUGCCAGCAGCCGCGGUAAGACAGAGGGGGCAAGCGUUGCUCGGAAUCACUGGGCGUAAAGGGCGCGUAGGCGGGAUGGCAAGUCGGUCGUGAAAUCCCUCGGCUCAACUGAGGGGGGUCGGCCGAUACUGCCGUUCUUGAGGGAUGCAGAGGAGACUGGAAUUCCCGGUGUAGCGGUGAAAUGUGUAGAGAUCGGGAGG
This 489-nucleotide ribosomal RNA is filed under the name uncultured Thermodesulfobacteriota bacterium. RNAcentral's name for it is "bacterial SSU rRNA". It matches the Rfam family "Bacterial small subunit ribosomal RNA", at positions 224 to 704 of the family's 1533-position model. Lineage: Bacteria; Pseudomonadati; Thermodesulfobacteriota. The record is from RNAcentral.